RNAcentral lists this ribosomal RNA (811 nucleotides) under uncultured bacterium. Its description in RNAcentral is "bacterial SSU rRNA". It matches the Rfam family "Bacterial small subunit ribosomal RNA", at positions 8 to 795 of the family's 1533-position model. The record is from RNAcentral.
AGAGUUUGAUCCUGGCUCAGAACGAACGCUAGCGGCGUGCCUAACACAUGCAAGUCGUACGAGAAAUCCCGGGCAACUGGGAGAGUAAAGUGGCGCACGGGUGAGUAACGCGUGGGUAAUCUACCUUGGAGUUCGGAAUAACACCUCGAAAGGGGUGCUAAUACCGGAUAUCGUCCCAGGGGUUUCGGCUCCGGGGAUGAAAGAUGGCUGAGGCUUGCAAGCUAUUGCUCCAAGAUGAGCCCGCGUACCAUUAGCUAGUUGGUGGGGUAACGGCCCACCAAGGCAAUGAUGGUUAGCUGGUCUGAGAGGAUGACCAGCCACACCGGAACUGAGAUACGGUCCAGACUCCUACGGGAGGCAGCAGUGAGGAAUCUUGCGCAAUGGGGGCAACCCUGACGCAGCAACGCCGCGUGAGGGAAGAAGGCUUUCGGGUUGUAAACCUCUUUCAGGAGGGACGAAGCUUCCGAGGUUAAUAGCCUACGGGGUGACGGUACCUCCAGAAGAAGCCCCGGCUAACUACGUGCCAGCAGCCGCGGUAAUACGUAGGGGGCAAGCGUUGUCCGGAAUCAUUGGGCGUAAAGCGCGUGUAGGUGGUUUCUUAAGUCUGAUGUGAAAGCCCACGGCUCAACCGUGGAGGGUCAUUGGAAACUGGGGAACUUGAGUGCAGGAGAGAAGAGUGGAAUUCCACGUGUAGCGGUGAAAUGCGUAGAGAUGUGGAGGAACACCAGUGGCGAAGGCGACUCUUUGGCCUGUAACUGACACUGAGGCGCGAAAGCGUGGGGAGCAAACAGGAUUAGAUACCCUGGUAGUC